GACGUGACUGAAGAAAGAGAUGACAUGAAGGCAUUUGAGCAACCAUAUUCUGCUGAAAUGAUUAAUUUGCAAAAUCAUGCAAACAAAUUCCAGGAAGUUGAUAUUCCCUCCACGAAUGGAGUUACAGACAAUGUUCCAUCCAAUCCCCAUAUCAGUACAAGCUGCAGGAAGGAUCAGAACUGCAGCAGAAUUAUUAAUUCCGAGUCCCCAGCUUCAGAAUUUGCACUUCCAAAAUCUAAUGGGAGUUGUCCAGAAAAUGAUGGCCCAACACCUGCUUAUUGUCACCAUCAGUUACCGUCUUCUAAUGGUUCCCCUAUACAACCCUUGGAGAAUAGUAUCUCGUCUUCUGGAGGUAGCAGUUUGC
Molecule: unclassified non-coding RNA, 364 nt
Filed under: Hevea brasiliensis (rubber tree)
Lineage: Eukaryota; Viridiplantae; Streptophyta; Magnoliopsida; Malpighiales; Euphorbiaceae
Source: RNAcentral